GCGGGUAUGGUGAAAUUGGCAUACACGUUGGAUUUAGGAUCCAAUGGCCGUGAGGCUGUGCAGGUUCAAGUCCUGUUACCCGCACCA
This 87-nucleotide transfer RNA is filed under the name Clostridiales bacterium. RNAcentral describes it as "tRNA-Leu". It matches the Rfam family "tRNA". From Rfam's summary of the family: Transfer RNA (tRNA) molecules are approximately 80 nucleotides in length. Their secondary structure includes four short double-helical elements and three loops (D, anti-codon, and T loops). The record is from RNAcentral. Lineage: Bacteria; Bacillati; Bacillota; Clostridia; Eubacteriales.